Molecule: ribosomal RNA, 395 nt
Filed under: uncultured bacterium
Lineage: Bacteria
Description: partial 16S ribosomal RNA
Rfam family: Bacterial small subunit ribosomal RNA
Source: RNAcentral
AUACGUAGGGUGCAAGCGUUAAUCGGAAUUACUGGGCGUAAAGCGUGCGCAGGCGGUUUUGUAAGACAGAGGUGAAAUCCCCGGGCUCAACCUGGGAACUGCCUUUGUGACUGCAAGGCUGGAGUGCGGCAGAGGGGGAUGGAAUUUCGCGUGUAGCAGUGAAAUGCGUAGAUAUGCGGAGGAACACCGAUGGCGAAGGCAAUCCCCUGGGCCUGCACUGACGCUCAUGCACGAAAGCGUGGGGAGCAAACAGGAUUAGAUACCCUGGUAGUCCACGCCCUAAACGAUGUCAACUGGUUGUUGGGGAUUUAUUUUCUCAGUAACGAAGCUAACGCGUGAAGUUGACCGCCUGGGGAGUACGGCCGCAAGGUUAAAACUCAAAUGAAUCGGCGGGG